GCCUGUUUAUCAAAAACAUUUCUGAGGGGAAAAUGUUUUUGGUUUAACCUGCUCAAUGCUUUAGUAAAUAGCUGCAGUAUUUUGACUGUACAAAGGUAGCAUAAUCAUUAGUCUUUUGAUUGAAGGCUUGUAUGAAUGGUUGAACAGAAUAUUAACUUUUUUAAUUACACGAAAUUUUAACUUGUAGUUUAUGUAAAAAUACAUAGUUAUUUAAAAGGGACGAUAAGACCCUAUAGAAUUUAAAAACAGAUCUGAGAAAUUUUUGUUUUUUUGUUGGGGUGACAGUAAAUAAACUUUUCUUGAAUUUUCAUUGAUGAGUGAUUGAGUGAUCCUAUUAUUUUAGAGAAAAAGAUAAAAUUACCUUAGGGAUAACAGCAUAAUUUUUUUAAAAAGAUCUUAUUAAUAAAAGAGAUUAUGACCUCGAUGUUGAAUUAAAAUAAAAUUUUGGUGUAGAAGCUUAAUUUUUUAGUCUGUUCGACUUUAAAUUUUACAUGAUCUGAGUUCAGACCGG
RNAcentral lists this ribosomal RNA (511 nucleotides) under Psylla lanceolata. Its description in RNAcentral is "partial 16S rRNA". It matches the Rfam family "Bacterial large subunit ribosomal RNA", at positions 1798 to 2619 of the family's 2925-position model. Lineage: Eukaryota; Metazoa; Arthropoda; Insecta; Hemiptera; Psyllidae. The record is from RNAcentral.